GGAUCCAGACUUUGAUUCUGGCUCAGGAUGAACGCUAGCUACAGGCUUAACACAUGCAAGUCGAGGGGAAACGACAUCGAAAGCUUGCUUUUGAUGGGUGUCGACCGGCGCACGGGUGAGUAACGCGUAUCCAACCUGCCCAUCACUUGGGGAUAACCUUGCGAAAGUAAGACUAAUACCCAAUGAUAUCUCAAGAAGACAUCUGAAUGAGAUUAAAAAUUUAUCGGUGAUGGAUGGGGAUGCGUCUGAUUAGCUUGUUGGCGGGGUAACGGCCCACCAAGGCGACGAUCAGUAGGGGUUCUGAGAGGAAGGUCCCCCACAUUGGAACUGAGACACGGUCCAAACUCCUACGGGAGGCAGCAGUGAGGAAUAUUGGUCAAUGGGCGAGAGCCUGAACCAGCCAAGUAGCGUGCAGGAUGACGGCCCUAUGGGUUGUAAACUGCUUUUAUAAGGGAAUAAAGUGAGUCUCGUGAGACUUUUUGCAUGUACCUUAUGAAUAAGGACCGGCUAAUUCCGUGCCAGCAGCCGCGGUAAUACGGAAGGUCCGGGCGUUAUCCGGAUUUAUUG
This 567-nucleotide ribosomal RNA is filed under the name uncultured Bacteroidota bacterium. Its description in RNAcentral is "bacterial SSU rRNA". It matches the Rfam family "Bacterial small subunit ribosomal RNA", at positions 1 to 556 of the family's 1533-position model. Lineage: Bacteria; Pseudomonadati; Bacteroidota. The record is from RNAcentral.